GUGCUACUACAACCGCUCUGGGAAGGUUAAAGUAUCGUAUGAUCACCUUCAUAUACAGGCGAGUCUGAGUCUAAGA
Lysinibacillus sphaericus OT4b.31 is the source of this 76-nucleotide non-coding RNA. The record is from Rfam. NCBI's taxonomy places the organism in Bacteria, Bacillati, Bacillota, Bacilli, Caryophanales, Bacillaceae.